UUAAGCGACUAAGCGUACACGGUGGAUGCCCUGGCAGUCAGAGGCGAUGAAGGACGUGCUAAUCUGCGAUAAGCGUCGGUAAGGUGAUAUGAACCGUUAUAACCGGCGAUUUCCGAAUGGGGAAACCCAGUGUGAUUCGUCACACUAUCAUUAACUGAAUCCAUAGGUUAAUGAGGCGAACCGGGGGAACUGAAACAUCUAAGUACCCCGAGGAAAAGAAAUCAACCGAGAUUCCCCCAGUAGCGGCGAGCGAACGGGGAGCAGCCCAGAGCCUGAAUCAGUGUGUGUGUUAGUGGAAGCGUCUGGAAAGGCGCGCGAUACAGGGUGACAGCCCCGUACACAAAAAUGUACAUGCUGUGAGCUCGAUGAGUAGGGCGGGACACGUGGUAUCCUGUCUGAAUAUGGGGGGACCAUCCUCCAAGGCUAAAUACUCCUGACUGACCGAUAGUGAACCAGUACCGUGAGGGAAAGGCGAAAAGAACCCCGGCGAGGGGAGUGAAAAAGAACCUGAAACCGUGUACGUACAAGCAGUGGGAGCCUCUUUAUGGGGUGACUGCGUACCUUUUGUAUAAUGGGUCAGCGACUUAUAUUCUGUAGCAAGGUUAACCGAAUAGGGGAGCCGAAGGGAAACCGAGUCUUAACUGGGCGUUAAGUUGCAGGGUAUAGACCCGAAACCCGGUGAUCUAGCCAUGGGCAGGUUGAAGGUUGGGUAACACUAACUGGAGGACCGAACCGACUAAUGUUGAAAAAUUAGCGGAUGACUUGUGGCUGGGGGUGAAAGGCCAAUCAAACCGGGAGAUAGCUGGUUCUCCCCGAAAGCUAUUUAGGUAGCGCCUCGUGAAUUCAUCUCCGGGGGUAGAGCACUGUUUCGGCAAGGGGGUCAUCCCGACUUACCAACCCGAUGCAAACUACGAAUACCGGAGAAUGUUAUCACGGGAGACACACGGCGGGUGCUAACGUCCGUCGUGAAGAGGGAAACAACCCAGACCGCCAGCUAAGGUCCCAAAGUCAUGGUUAAGUGGGAAACGAUGUGGGAAGGCCCAGACAGCCAGGAUGUUGGCUUAGAAGCAGCCAUCAUUUAAAGAAAGCGUAAUAGCUCACUGGUCGAGUCGGCCUGCGCGGAAGAUGUAACGGGGCUAAACCAUGCACCGAAGCUGCGGCAGCGACGCUNNNNNNNNNNNNNNNNNNNNNNNNNNNNNNNNNNNNNNNNAUGCGUUGUUGGGUAGGGGAGCGUUCUGUAAGCCUGCGAAGGUGUGCUGUGAGGCAUGCUGGAGGUAUCAGAAGUGCGAAUGCUGACAUAAGUAACGAUAAAGCGGGUGAAAAGCCCGCUCGCCGGAAGACCAAGGGUUCCUGUCCAACGUUAAUCGGGGCAGGGUGAGUCGACCCCUAAGGCGAGGCCGAAAGGCGUAGUCGAUGGGAAACAGGUUAAUAUUCCUGUACUUGGUGUUACUGCGAAGGGGGGACGGAGAAGGCUAUGUUGGCCGGGCGACGGUUGUCCCGGUUUAAGCGUGUAGGCUGGUUUUCCAGGCAAAUCCGGAAAAUCAAGGCUGAGGCGUGAUGACGAGGCACUACGGUGCUGAAGCAACAAAUGCCCUGCUUCCAGGAAAAGCCUCUAAGCAUCAGGUAACAUCAAAUCGUACCCCAAACCGACACAGGUGGUCAGGUAGAGAAUACCAAGGCGCUUGAGAGAACUCGGGUGAAGGAACUAGGCAAAAUGGUGCCGUAACUUCGGGAGAAGGCACGCUGAUAUGUAGGUGAAGUCCCUCGCGGAUGGAGCUGAAAUCAGUCGAAGAUACCAGCUGGCUGCAACUGUUUAUUAAAAACACAGCACUGUGCAAACACGAAAGUGGACGUAUACGGUGUGACGCCUGCCCGGUGCCGGAAGGUUAAUUGAUGGGGUNAGCGCAAGCGAAGCUCUUGAUCGAAGCCCCGGUAAACGGCGGCCGUAACUAUAACGGUCCUAAGGUAGCGAAAUUCCUUGUCGGGUAAGUUCCGACCUGCACGAAUGGCGUAAUGAUGGCCAGGCUGUCUCCACCCGAGACUCAGUGAAAUUGAACUCGCUGUGAAGAUGCAGUGUACCCGCGGCAAGACGGAAAGACCCCGUGAACCUUUACUAUAGCUUGACACUGAACAUUGAGCCUUGAUGUGUAGGAUAGGUGGGAGGCUUUGAAGUGUGGACGCCAGUCUGCAUGGAGCCGACCUUGAAAUACCACCCUUUAAUGUUUGAUGUUCUAACGUUGACCCGUAAUCCGGGUUGCGGACAGUGUCUGGUGGGUAGUUUGACUGGGGCGGUCUCCUCCUAAAGAGUAACGGAGGAGCACGAAGGUUGGCUAAUCCUGGUCGGACAUCAGGAGGUUAGUGCAAUGGCAUAAGCCAGCUUGACUGCGAGCGUGACGGCGCGAGCAGGUGCGAAAGCAGGUCAUAGUGAUCCGGUGGUUCUGAAUGGAAGGGCCAUCGCUCAACGGAUAAAAGGUACUCCGGGGAUAACAGGCUGAUACCGCCCAAGAGUUCAUAUCGACGGCGGUGUUUGGCACCUCGAUGUCGGCUCAUCACAUCCUGGGGCUGAAGUAGGUCCCAAGGGUAUGGCUGUUCGCCAUUUAAAGUGGUACGCGAGCUGGGUUUAGAACGUCGUGAGACAGUUCGGUCCCUAUCUGCCGUGGGCGCUGGAGAACUGAGGGGGGCUGCUCCUAGUACGAGAGGACCGGAGUGGACGCAUCACUGGUGUUCGGGUUGUCAUGCCAAUGGCACUGCCCGGUAGCUAAAUGCGGAAGAGAUAAGUGCUGAAAGCAUCUAAGCACGAAACUUGCCCCGAGAUGAGUUCUCCCUGACCCUUUAAGGGUCCUGAAGGAACGUUGAAGACGACGACGUUGAUAGGCCGGGUGUGUAAGCGCAGCGAUGCGUUGAGCUAACCGGUACUAAUGAACCGUGAGGCUUAACCUU
RNAcentral lists this ribosomal RNA (2940 nucleotides) under Escherichia coli. RNAcentral describes it as "bacterial LSU rRNA". It matches the Rfam family "Bacterial large subunit ribosomal RNA". The record is from RNAcentral. Lineage: Bacteria; Pseudomonadati; Pseudomonadota; Gammaproteobacteria; Enterobacterales; Enterobacteriaceae.